This 220-nucleotide ribosomal RNA is filed under the name uncultured bacterium. Its description in RNAcentral is "partial 16S ribosomal RNA". It matches the Rfam family "Bacterial small subunit ribosomal RNA", at positions 523 to 732 of the family's 1533-position model. The record is from RNAcentral.
UAGCGAAGGGUGCAAACGUUUGUGCUCGGAAUUAUUGGGCGUAAGCGCACGUAGGACGGCUUUGCGAAGCUCGGAUGUGAAAUCCCUCGGCUUAAACCAAGGAAGUGCAUCCGAAACUGCAGAGCGUUGAGUACUUAAGAGGAUCGCGGAAUUCCCGGUGUAGAGGUGAAAUUCGUAGAUAUCGGGAAGGAACACCAGUGGCGAAGGGCGGACGAUCUGG